AUGGGUAGAAUCAAUGUCAACCCUAUUUGGGGGAAGAUUUGGAAAUUGCCUUGUCCAGGAAAGGUAAAAAUCUUUAUUUGGCGUACGUUGCAUGGUACCCUCCCAUGUCGUGUUACACUGGCCAAUAGACACAUGAAGGUCUCGCCUAUAUGCCCCUCAUGCACGAAUGAACCGGAAGACACGAAACACGUAUUGUUCCUCUGUCAUAAGGCAAAAGAGGUUUGGAACAAACUCAGGAUGUGCAGGGUGAUUAAAGAAGCAUGUGCUAUUGAUAGGGCAAGAGAAGCAAUCCUACAAUUUUUACUUCUCAAGCCACAUAAUGAAAUAGCUACUCUAGGAAUCCAGAAUGUACGUGAACUAAUAGCUAUAACCGCUUGGUAUUUGUGGUGGGAUAGACGUAGGCUGGUUCAUGAAGGUAAGGCUCAAAACACACAACAAUCCUCCAUGGGGAUUAGGGCAAUAACAAGAAACUAUGUAAAUGCCCAUUUCCCUAAUGCAUCUAUUAAAAAGGAGGAUGGAGCAAACCUUCUCUGGGACUUGUUAAGCUGA
RNAcentral lists this ribosomal RNA (549 nucleotides) under Triticum aestivum (bread wheat). Its description in RNAcentral is "partial small subunit ribosomal RNA". Lineage: Eukaryota; Viridiplantae; Streptophyta; Magnoliopsida; Poales; Poaceae. The record is from RNAcentral.